UACGUAGGUGACCAGCGUUGUCCGGAUUUACUGGGCGUAAAGAGCUUGUAGGUGGUUUGUCGCGUUGUUCGUGAAAUCUCACGGCUUAACUGUGAGCGUGCGGGCGAUACGGGCAGACUAGAGUACUGCAGGGGAGACUGGAAUUCCUGGUGUAGCGGUGGAAUGCGCAGAUAUCAGGAGGAACACCGGUGGCGAAGGCGGGUCUCUGGGCAGUAACUGACGCUGAGAAGCGAAAGCGUGGGGAGCGAACAGG
RNAcentral lists this ribosomal RNA (253 nucleotides) under uncultured bacterium. Its description in RNAcentral is "partial 16S ribosomal RNA". It matches the Rfam family "Bacterial small subunit ribosomal RNA", at positions 524 to 776 of the family's 1533-position model. The record is from RNAcentral.